This 1403-nucleotide ribosomal RNA is filed under the name uncultured Bordetella sp. RNAcentral's name for it is "partial 16S-23S ribosomal RNA intergenic spacer". It matches the Rfam family "Bacterial small subunit ribosomal RNA". Lineage: Bacteria; Pseudomonadati; Pseudomonadota; Betaproteobacteria; Burkholderiales; Alcaligenaceae. The record is from RNAcentral.
AGUCGAACGGCAGCACGGACUUCGGGUCUGGUGGCGAGUGGCGAACGGGAGUAAUGUAUCGGAACGCCUAGUAGCGGGGGAUAACUACGCGAAAGCGUAGCUAAUACCGCAUACGCCCUUCGGGGGAAAGCAGACUCCGCCUCAGGCACUAUUAGAGCGGCCGAUAUCGGAUUAGCUAGUUGGUGGGGUAACGGCUCACCAAGGCGAUGAUCCGUAGCUGGUUUGAGAGGACGACCAGCCACACUGGGAUCACCAGAGUGACACGGCCCAGACUCCACGGGAGGCAGCAGUGGGGAAUUUUGACAAUGGGGCAACCCCGAUCCAGCCAUCCCGCGUGUGCGAUGAAGCGCCUUCGGGUUUAAAGCACUUUUGGCAGAAAGAAACGGCACGGGAUAAUGGCUCCAACGACGGUACCUGCAGAAUAAGCACCGGCUAAUCACGUGCCAGCAGCCGCGGUAAUACGUAGGGUAAAAGCGUUAAUCUGGACCACUGGGGCGAAGCGUGCGCAGGCGGUUCGGAAAGAAAGAUGUGAAAUCCCAGAGCUUAACUUUGGAACUGCAUUUUUAACUACCGAGCUAGAGUGUCGAGGGAGGUGGAAUUCGCGUGUAGCAGUGAAAUGCGUAGAUAUGCGGAGGAACACCGACGGCGAAGGCAGCCUCCUGGGAUAACACUGACGCUCAUGCACGAAAGCGUGGGGAGCAAACAGGAUUAGAUACCCUGGUAGUCCACGCCCUAAACGAUGUCAACUAGCUGUUGGGGCCUUCGGGCCUUGGCAGCUAACGCGUGAAGUUGACCGCCCGGGGAGUACGGUCGCAAGAUUAAAACUCAAAGGAAUUGACGGGGACCCGCACAAGCGGUGGAUGAUGUGAUUAAUUCGAUGCAACGCGAAAACCUUACCUACCCUUGACAUGUCUGGAAUCCGAAGAGAUCAGAGUGCUCGCAAGAGAACCGGAACACAGGUGCUGCAUGGCUGUCGUCAGCUCGUCGUGAGAUGUUAUUGGGUUGGUCCCGCAAUGAGCGCAACCCUUGUCAUUAGUUACAUGAAAGGGCACUCUAAUGAGACUGCCGGUGACAAACCGGAGGAAGGUGGGGAUGACGUCAAGUCCUCAUGGCCCUUAUGGGUAGGGCUUCACACGUCAUACAAUGGUCGGGACAGAGGGUCGCCAACCCGCGAGGGGGAGCCAAUCCCAGAAACCCGAUCGUAGUCCGGAUCGCAGUCUGCAACUCGACUGCGGAAGUCGGAAUCGCUAGUAAUCGCGGAUCAGCAUGUCGCGGUGAAUACGUUCCCGGGUCUUGUACACACCGCCCGUCACACCAUGGGAGUGGGUUUCAGAAGUAGUUAGCCUAACGUAAGGAGGGCGAUUACCACGGUAGGAUUCAUGACUGGGGUGUCAUCAAGGUAA